Molecule: long non-coding RNA, 2225 nt
Organism: Mauremys mutica (yellowpond turtle)
Lineage: Eukaryota; Metazoa; Chordata; Testudines; Geoemydidae
Exons: 4
Source: RefSeq, a predicted model, not a curated record
GGAAAGGAUUGCGGUCAAAUGCGAGCCCCGCCUAACGGCGCCGGGCGGGUUCGAGCCGCGCGGUCCCUUCCCCUCUUGGCUUUCAGCCGGCGUAAUGCUCCCCCCUCCGACAUCGCGCCCGGCUGGUGUAACCACUAGGCGGCUGCUUAGGAUGCCAAGAUUUGGGGGCACCAAAAAGCAGUGUCUGGCAUCAUGGCAGUCAACUGAGUGGGGCAGGGUGGGGAGAGAGGCCUCCAUAACCUGCCCCCGCAGCGAGGGGCGCCACGCAGGAUGGUCAGUGGGAGCCUGUCACGAAGCGAGGAGACAGCUGACCGGGCAUGGCGACCAGCACGGCCAAGGGACAGAGCUGUUGGGGGAGGCAGGAUGCAGUCCUGAGUUCAGUGUGGAAAUUGAUUCAACAUAAAGAAUGCCCCCGUCUCCAUACCGUAAAGUAGUACAUUUGAGAGCCAUGGAUUUCAGAGGCUCGCAUAUACAACAGGUACAGAAUGGACAAAUUUAUACCAAGGAUUGCAAACACAAGACAUGCCAAAGAAGACUUCCUCACCAUAUCCAGGUUGUUGUCCUGGAUAGUUUUGCUGAUUUGGGUACUGUUGCUGUGAAUAUGUUUGCUGUUGCGCAGCUCCCUGUUGGUAUCCUGCCUGUGGCUGGCUAUACUGGGAAUUUCCUAGAAAGGGGAAGAUUGAUAUAGUUUAUGUACAGACUCAGCAGCUGUCCCAAUAUAGUUGCUGUUCACGCUGAAAAUAACUGAAUGAGGUUUGUUGAUAUGAAAAGGGUAUUCCUUUAAAAAAGAGCCUGCCUUCCACUAUAUUUUACUCAUCAGUAAAGAGGAGGUUAUUCCUCUAGUUAUUUUUAGCUCAUUUGAAGAGGCUGUGUUUGUUUCACGUAUGAAAAAAGUUUUCUUUAAGAAGUCUACAUGCACAUUCUCCCCUCUCCCUCCCACCAGCUGCUCCCUUUUCCUCUUACAUUUUAAACAUCAGCUCUCUUUUAAUCAAAAAUUUAAAAAUAAAAUAUAUGUUUUAAAAGAGCACAAUAACUUUGUUUCCACACAUUACAAAUUAGGAAAAAUAUACACUCCUAAUUAUAUAUUUUUCUUUUGAUAACACAUAAAGACCAAGUAAAGUCUAUUCCAGGGGAGGCCAAACUGUGGCUUGUGAGCCUCAUGCGGUUCUUUUACAGUUAAAAUGCAGCUCUUGGAGCCUCUCAUGUCUCCCCAUUCUCUGCCUACCAGACUGAUUGGGGGAGCUUGGGGCUUCAGCCCUUCGGCGAGGUGGUGGAGCUAGGGGCUUCUGUCCAGCAGAGAGUGGAGUCUAGGGGUCUCAGCCCCAUGGGAGGCACCUGCCAGGGCUUGGGGCUUCAGCAGAAAUGGGGCUGAAGUCCCGAGCUUUGGCAGGCAAGCCCUGCGGGGAUGAAGCCCUGAGACCACCCCAGGCCCCACAUGACAGAAGCCUCUAGCCCCACCACCCCGCUGAAAGGCUGCAGCCCCAGGCCCCGGCAGGCACACCCCAGCUCUCAAACUUCUGAAGAUUGUAGUAUGCAGCUCUGGUCAGUAAGUUUGGCCAUCCCUGGUCUAUUCAAGUGCACAUCCUACAGUUUGUACACAGUCAUAUUCAUGUAUUUAUUUGGAUACUCAUAGUAUCUAGCAUUCUUUAAGAAAACUGACUUUUAAAUUUGUGGGUGAUCAAAAUUUCCCCAAUAUACCCCAGCCUAUUUGAACUGCAAAGGCUUAUCCUUAAUUCACUAAAUUUUAUUUUCCAUUAAGUUGAUAUUUUGGCUUUCCUCUAGUUUGUGGUAAUCUACAAAAAGCAAGUGGGUUGAAAAGGAAACAUUACCACACAAAGCUUCUGUGUGACCAAAACAUUGGGCCUGAAUCUUCACUCCUUUACAGCUGGUAGUCAUUACACUGAUGUAAAGUGGGUAUAAAAUGUUACCCAAUCAGAACAGUAGCAUUUAACGGCCAUUUUAUCCAGGUAUAAAGAACUACACAAGGUGUGAGGCAAACAAGUAUCAGGCGUGUUGACUUUUAAGGAAAAUAAAACAUAAUAGAAGUUAAGGCUAAACCACUGUGGUUUGAAUUAAUUACUGCACAAUGGAGAAACUCUGAUCGCUUAAAAUAAUAAAGAAAUUUACUUCAUGUUCUAUCUUCCUACGUGUUUUUGUAAGACAGAUUUUCAGAAAUGACAUGUAUUUUAGAUUGCAGGGAUCACUUACCUUCAGUACUGUGUUGA